This 427-nucleotide ribosomal RNA is filed under the name uncultured bacterium. RNAcentral's name for it is "bacterial SSU rRNA". It matches the Rfam family "Bacterial small subunit ribosomal RNA", at positions 355 to 774 of the family's 1533-position model. The record is from RNAcentral.
UGGGGAAUUUUGGACAAUGGACGCAAGUCUGAUCCAGCCAUGCCGCGUGCGGGAAGAAGGCCUUCGGGUUGUAAACCGCUUUUGUCAGGGAAGAAACGAGUUUCUCUAAUACAGAGACUUAAUGACGGUACCUGAAGAAUAAGCACCGGCUAACUACGUGCCAGCAGCCGUGGUAAUACGUAGGGUGCAAGCGUUAAUCGGAAUUACUGGGCGUAAAGCGUGCGCAGGCGGUUAUGCAAGACAGAUGUGAAAUCCCCGGGCUCAACCUGGGACCUGCAUUUGUGACUGCAUAGCUAGAGUACGGCAGAGGGGGAUGGAAUUCCGCGUGUAGCAGUGAAAUGCGUAGAUAUGCGGAGGAACACCGAUGGCGAAGGCAAUCCCCUGGGCCUGUACUGACGCUCAUGCACGAAAGCGUGGGGAGCAAACA